Molecule: long non-coding RNA, 541 nt
Organism: Parus major (Great Tit)
Lineage: Eukaryota; Metazoa; Chordata; Aves; Passeriformes; Paridae
Exons: 5
Source: RefSeq, a predicted model, not a curated record
GGGGUCCUUCCUCUGAUGCCCCUGAGCCCUUUCCUCCCCAGGCUGCUCUACAACCUGCGCUACCUGGGCCAGACCAGUGUUGGGACGUGUGGUGGCAAAGAGGUGCUGGAGGGAGCCAUCCCUGCCGUGCUGGAGAGGCGCUUGGCAGCGCGGGAGGUUUUAUUUGAUGUGAAGGAGGCAGAAGUCCUUGUGAAGGAGAAGGCUUCUUCCAAGCUCUUCCCCCGAGAGCCCUGAUGGGAGCACGUUCAACUGCCUGGUGUUUGCAUCCAGUUCUGAGCAAGAAUGCGAGGAAAUCAUCGGGAGAAUCGCUGCAGGACUCAAGCACACCGAGUGGUUUAUCUGAGGGAGAAUACGACAAGGGCUCCACUUUCCCAGCAGCAGCUGUGGGCUGCAGGCCCUGACUCCCAGAACAAGCUGGGAUGGUUUUCAUGCCCUUCCUCACCAUUGUGGUGGGAGAUCACAAAGAGCCAGCACCAAUUUACCCCAGUCAGGUCAGAACUGCUGCUACUCUUCCCCAGAACACCACGGUCCUUCCACUGGA